Scophthalmus maximus (turbot) is the source of this 4807-nucleotide long non-coding RNA. RefSeq lists it as uncharacterized. The record is from RefSeq and is a predicted model, not a curated record. Lineage: Eukaryota; Metazoa; Chordata; Actinopteri; Pleuronectiformes; Scophthalmidae. The transcript has 9 exons.
GACAUCACCUUGUGAUGAAAAAAGUGUUAAUUACCAGUAAUCAAAAUGAUGACAAUGUUUUUGUUCAGAUGUACAAUAAUUAUUAUUCUGACCCGGAGAGUAAGCUUCAUCUUACACACAGCUGAAAGAUGCAUUCACCUAGUUUGAAGCUAAGAAUCAAUUAUUUUUGUUGUUUGUGUUACAGCCAGUGUUAGCCAUGGGAGAGAGAUGGAUGAGCUACAGUGUCCACAGGAGGGGCCUGGAUGAAGGGACUGUGGAUGACUGUGGAUUGCAUGAGUUUUUUUAAUUACCUUGCAAUACCCUGCACCCUGGCAUUGCUGGGAGCCAGCUACCAGGAACUCACCAAUGAAAUCCCCUCCCAGGUCUGGCUCCAGAAGGGGACUCAGGUUUCCCUUUUGUGGGCGAGGUCCAACAGUGCUCACAUGACCGAUUGAUCAAUCACAAUACAUAUGUCUCAUAUGUUUUACAAGGCCGGCAGGAAUGGGUUUUUACAUCUCUGUCCCCCUCUUCCAGGAUCAUAUGCUGUGAUAGGAGUGAUGAUAGGAGGACUCACAGAUCGAGUAGCCCCAGACUCAAACUCUAUGAUAUGGGACAAUGUGACAAACACCAGCAAAGGACUCACUCAGAAGUGUCCAAUCUAAAUAAGAUUUCUGGUCAUUUAAACAAAUUCUUUAGUUUUGUGGGCAGCUACGAUGAACCUACAUGUUUCUAAAUCUGUGUUAUGUAUGUACUGUAGAUUGUGCUGGGUCUGGUCCAGUUUGGUUUGAUGGUGACGCACCUGUCUGAACCUCUGGUCCGAGGUUACACCACAGGAGCUGCUUUCCACAUCAUCCUGUCCCAGCUCAAAUACUGCUUUGGCAUCAGCCAUGUGAGACACAGUGGACCAUUGUCACUGAUAUAUACCUAAAUAUUCCCUGCUCGGGCAGGUGCCAGGCACUGACAUCUCUAAGCCACUGGAGGACUACAAUCAGUACUUGCCAGGGAUUUUGAUCUUCCGUUCCUCUGCAACACUCUACUUUGCUAAUGCUGAGAUGUAUCAAGAUGCCCUGGGGAAUAAAGGAGCCAGAGCAGAAGGACAUUGCCUUCGUUGAGUUGGAAGCUGAGCCUGAGCCCUCACACCCAAGAGCCAUCAUCCUUGACCUCAGCCCUGUCAACUUCCUGGAUACUGUGGGGGUCAAGGCGUUACAAAAUAUCCAGCUAGACUAUGGACAAAUUGGUAUAGAGGUGGUUCUCGCUGGCUGCCAAACUGAAGUGGUGGACAACGUGCAGACCGGAGGAUUCUUCAGUGACAAAGUGACAAAGUCCUGUUUGUUCGCCACCAUCCAUGAUGCCGUUUUGUACUGUCAGUCAGCCAGAGCAAAAGAAUCGAACAUACACAUUGGCACACAUCGUGCAUCAUAGUUUAUUUUAUGUUUUUGUAAAAUAGGGUAACAAAGUAUAUGAGGAGACUUCAGUCAGGAAGUAUUUUUACACCUGUAGUGAUCUAAAUCUAAAUAUUACCCAACACAGUAAGUAACACAGGGUUGACUGGGUAAUGUUUACUAUUUCUGGUUAGACUCAUUUGUAGACCACAGACUCGGAUAUCUUCUUAAUAACAGAAGUUUACAAAAGAUGAUUCUGCGAUGCUGAGCUGAGCAGGUGGUAGAAGAGCAGGGGCGAGGCAGGAGGGUUUGAGCGGGCGUGGUGGCUGGGAUCUGAACUGUCAGGAAAAACUGGUGUGGUUCUCUAGAGCACAAGAAAGCAGUAUAAGUGAGAGCAAAAAUGUAUUCAAGAUUUCUACGUAAGAGCAUUCAGCCAUGAACAAUAGGACGUAGCAGGUGAAACAAUCUGGCGACGGGGAGCAGCAGUGAUUAGUAGUUGAGUAACAGGGGUGGAGCCCAGAGAGGAAGCCACGCCCACAGCCGCACUUACUGUCACACACACACACACACACACGCACACAUUAUGGAAUUUAUGCUUGCUGAGUGUUUGCCUGUGGAGGGUCUGCAGUACCCAUAGAUUUACUGGGCAGUACCAGUAUCAGCCACAGAAGGACGCCGUGCUCCCAUGUUGCAGACAUGUCGAGGGAGGAUGUCUUGUGAAGUGAAAUGCUAAUGUGUGAGUGGCCAGUUGAUAUGGGCCUGACGGUGGAGGCAUUUGCAUAUUUGAAGUGUGUGUGUCUGCCCGGUAUGCAAAUGUAGCUGUGUCACAUGGAGUGUGACACUGUUAGCAGCAUGUUCAUCUGUGCAAUCUGAAAUGUCAUAAACUGUAGAUCAGAGAGAGAGAGAGAAAGAGAGAAAGAGAGUGUGUGUGUGUGUGUGUGUGUGUGUGUGUGUGUGUGUGUGUGUGUGUGUGUGUGUGUGUGUGUGUGUGUGUGUGUGUGUGUGUGUGUGUGUGUGUGUGUGUGUGUGUGUGUGUGUGUAGGUCUAGGUGGGGGUCAGAACUCAUUAAGGGGCGGACUGCAGGUAUCCAUUAAUAUUUCAAUAUUUCAGCCUCGUCUCAUGUUGCCUUUUGUCAAGCACCAAUCUCACCAACUGCCACUUCCAGCAGAGAGAAAGGAGGAAGAGAGAGGGGGAGACUGAACAGUGAAGGGGAAGUGAGGAGGAGAAAAGAUGGAUAAAAUGAGGGACCUGAGGAGAGGAGGCCAGAGAGGGAGGAAAACAAUAAGCACACUUCACGUCUUUGUUCCGAGGGAUGGAAAGGAAAGAAGAAGGAGGUAGAGAACACAGGAUCCAAAGUACCUGUGUAACCACCACAAUCAUUACCAGGUGGAAGAAGGGUGAGAGAAAAGUGAGGUGGGGGGAGUGAAAGUACCAGUUCUGACAGGGUGAGGGUGAGGUCGGCGAGGAGAGAGAAAAGGGGGAGGUGGAAAUAGAGAAGGCACCUGCUUUACUGAGCAUCACUGGUUCUCAGAAGAGAAAGGCAAGAGAGACGGGCAAAGAAGUGAAGAAUUAUAGGAAAGACGAGGGAAGAAAAACAAAAGAAAGGACAGAUUGAUGAGCGGGGCAGUCGCAGAUGAGACGGAGGGGAUGCUGUUUUCUAAAACCAGGAUGCAUGACUGUUAUGAAUUCAGUUUUCAAAGAGAGGACUAUUCUCUAACCAGAUUUCGUCUGAAUUAAUGAUUUUCAUUCUUCAAACAACAUGUGGAGAGAGGGGAAGUGACUUAUGGAAGCCAGCUUAAGAAAAUCCUCAGCAUCUGUGUGUGCUGGUAGAGAAAAAACUUUUUGAUGACUUCAAAGUGUUAUUGUGUUUUGAUCAGUGGGAUAUUUUGUUUGACCAAGGAGAACAAUGAAUAUUGGUGCUGGAUUCAAAGAGUUCGAGGAGGGACAUUUCACACUCAUCUAAAAGGUUUUGUAUUGGAGAUGUCACGAGAACGGCUGCCUGUCAUCGGUUUAUCCAGGAGUAAAACAGCAGCCAAGCUCCCACACUCCUCUUCGGCUCUCCAGCGUUCCCACCAGGCCAAUCAGCAGAAACGCAGCCGACAGCCGACAUCAUCCACCUCCUGCUCUCAUCCUCAUCCUCAUCCAGGAGCGACUUCCAUCCUCCCCUCAGAUACCACCAUGGCACCUUGGGGAGGCCUGAUUCUCUCUGAAUCUUCCUUUCCCUCAAUCCAGCCACCACCUCCUCCACGGCCACCUCCACCUCCACCUCCUCCUGCUCCACAGCCCACGCCAUCCUCCCCCGAUCGUGGGAGACAGAAUGAAGAGGAAGAGACUUCAAGUUCAAGUUUUAAGUCUGAGGUCGCUUACCCCCCUCUCCUUCAGGGCAGUGCAGGUGUAGGAGGUCAAGUGUUGCAGACAAGGCGGAGGUUGUUGCCCCAGCGUCGAGUGCCUCGUCCUCCCCGCCUCCCACAGCUACAUCCCGUCACCAAUCUCAGCUUCUCCCGGAGCUUCACUUUCUCUUUCUUCGAACUGCCACUGCACCAGUCGCCUCACUGUCGGGCUGAACGCAUCAGAAACCUCAUGCUGCUUUUGAGACAGAUACACUAUUGAAGGAUCACAGCUGCACAGACAAUAAAUAAUCUAAUAGGGGAAUCAGUUCAUCUCAGAUAUAUUAUUUCAAUUUCUUAGUGGUAACAUUUUCAUUUUCAACAUCAAACUACCAGUGGUACAGUGGUGUAUAUCUACUUUGAGAAUAAUGGACAUCCAGUUAAGUCAGUCUGUAUUUAGUUUUGAAAUACUGCAUUUUGCCUUUUUGAACUUUUGAACUUUUCAAAUUCUAAUGUUAAUGUCUUGAUGAAGUUAAAUGUAUCUUCUAGUAUAACCUGAAGUUACUUCAUAUUGUGGUGACAAUAUAUGUCAAGUGGCAGUUAACACAGCCACAUAUUUAGUUUGAGUUCCUGUAAGAUAUGUUCACUCAUUCUUUCUGUUUCGUGCUGCUGUGUAAAGUUCUGUUCUCUUUUCAUAUCUGGUUUUGAAAUAAUUUCACAUUGUCUCAGUGGCUUUCAAAAAUUAAUUUUGCAAAGUGGAAACCAUUGAAAGUAGAUUAAACCUGGGAAAACAGUUCUCAGGCUUGUUUUCUCUCUUUCUCUCUCGCUCUCUUUUUUCUCUGUCUCACUUUCUCUCUCUCUCUCUCUCACACACACACACACACACACACACACACACACACACACACACACACACACACACACACACACACACACACACACACACACACACAGUCUUGUACUUCUCUCUUAUAGUGAGGACGCUCAUUGGCAUAAUACAUUCCGAAAUCCCUUACCCGAACCAUAACCAUCACAACUAAAUGCCUAACCCUUACCCUAACCUUAACCCAAUUCUAACACUCACCCUUUUGAGAACCGGCGAAAAUGUCCUCACUCUGU